Molecule: long non-coding RNA, 621 nt
Filed under: Dermacentor andersoni
Lineage: Eukaryota; Metazoa; Arthropoda; Arachnida; Ixodida; Ixodidae
Description: uncharacterized LOC126534037
Source: RNAcentral
AGAGAAUAGCUUAUUCUUGUAGUGCAUCCUUGUCUAUCAUUCAUUUUAUAGGAAAUUGUACCACUGUCGUAUGCAGUUAUGCUUUCCGCAAGCCAUGUGAGCAAUUUGGCUAAGUGAUUUGUUCGACGCCUAUGUUUCUCACUCCUGCCGGGUCCCUGUUGGCAAUGGGAUAUGUAUAAGUGCAUACAAAUCAAUUAAAGAGCAGAAACUUCCUUUCUCUGUUUUGCUACAAUGUUCCAAGUUUUGCCUGUGCAAAUGCAGCAGCUUUGCUGGUGUACUAAAGUUCCGGUGCUACUUGCAUUUAAUUUUUUAUUAGAGACCUGCAGGACUUCAUGGAAAAACAGCACCAUGUGAGUCCUGUUGUGACGUACACACAGGGACAAAAAAUGGUGCCCGACGACAGGGAGAGGGAACUGCAGGCCCCAAAAGCAGUGGACAGCCCAACUGGCCAUGUGGAGCUGCCUAAACAAAAGAAGGACCGGCCCUUACUGCAGCUCCUGCAAAAGCUAGAUGAGAUAGAAAAAAAUAGGGCAACGCGACACAAGGAGAAGAUGGCCCUGCUGGAGCGCUUCGUGAGCGCAUAUGAAACAAAAAAAUAAACAGCUUGUCUUCAUCAAAUCA